GUGACAAACCAUUACCCUCGAUGUUCUGUAUCAGUCUGAAUCAAUGUCGCAUGAACUUGUCAUAUUGUCAAGUAAGAUCAAAUGCUCAAGUCUAACUGUAAGCCUAGUAUUACAUAUUACUGGCACUGCCAUUAGCGUGCAAGAGACAGUAAAGAGACCUAUGCAAUGCAAAUCAAUGGAAAAUGCAGCAUUGUCUUCGCCCACGCCGUGAGCAUGGCCUAAUUGCGCUCUGUCUCUACCUGAUUAAAAGGAAAGGAAGGGAAGUGAUGUUUACCUGUUCAUUGACCGCAUGGACAAGAGAGCAGUCGGCGUUUAGUUGCCGUGGUUACGCAGAAUUAGCAGGGCUUCAGCAAACAUUGGAUGUACCGUUCUUUUGUGGAUUAUACCUUAAAAAAACUCACUUGAUUACUGCAAGUCGAAGACCCCCUUUUCUAAACGGGACGAAGUGGCAUUUUUGUAAGCCCAAACAGAUAUCAGAUCUGCCCAGCUUUCUUUUCCGUUCAUGGUUUUCCUUUCCGUUAAGACUUUCCAUGACCACAAAUGCUCUGUAACCGCUCACCGUAUGGAUCAGGUAAACCCUAGCCAGUUUAAUUUGGCUACUAACAGCAUAUGGAAACUCCUCAAUAUUGUUUGAUUCCUGUAUAUAGUUCACCAUGUGUCUUAAAUUCUUUGUUCAUCACAAGGCUCUGGAAAUAGUUCCAAUAAUUUGCGUUUUCAGAUUCCUCCGGAUUAGUGUGGACACAGCGUUAUAGUUUCACUGUGUGAAUAGCGUCAACACUUUUGCAAGUAAUAGUGUGUGCAUGACAUUCUCAUGUGCUGAGAGGGCGGAGGGCUGAGCUCCCUUAAGGGUCUGAUCAUAGAAUCACUCGAUCCUGGGUUAGACCCAUGGCAUGCGUUGCGUUUUGAAGUGAGGAAUCGUUCGUCCCACAGCAGGUAGUUCUUCUCCUUUAUCCAAUAACCACUGUUUACUCGCGAUCCAGCCUGAAUGGUAUAUUAAGUCAAAUUUACUUCAAUAUUGCGAAAAGUGUAUUUAACUGGCUGGCUAAGGUCAGCGGAACAGCUAACAUUUUGGUUUUUUUUUUUUUUAAGAAAAUGAUGGAAAUACCAUUUGUUUUUGUCCGGAAUGGAAGAAAUAAUUUACAGAUUAAUCGAUUAUCAAUUUUUGUUAGUUGCAGACCCACAUGAAUCGCCUCCAUGAAAGGUAUGUACCUACGUAAAUCCAUGUGCUGAUGUGUAUACUGUAUGUAUCUGCAUGUCCCCAAAUUGUUUGUUUUACGUUUGUAGCUCAAAUGAAUUAAUCCCAUACUCUAUAAACCAGUUAUAGACAGUUCCUUUAGAGGGCGCACUUCCGAAAAAAAGCAGCACAGUAUACAUACAGGAGUCAUUCAAUCGAUCCAGUCAAUUUCUAUUUCAUAAUUCACAAUAACUCUGUGUUAGAGCAACGUGUAGAGUAACUUUUCCCACGUCUGCAUUUGUUGAGCGACACUCCGGUGAGUUGUUUCUUUUCUUGUGCUAUGCUAGAAAAUUCGCUAGUCAUGCAUGCAUGUAUAGGUAUGCUAGUGUAACAGAUCCUUUUGAAUGUGUAGUUCGAUACCCUGCUCUCAAUGUUACACUGUAUGUGAAUUUUUUUUGUCAUGAAAAAAUGCAGAUUUUUUAAAAUGUACGCUGCAGUGUGAAUUUAUGUGAGGAGAUCCUGUCGUCAGGCGCCUUCCAUCAGCUAAGAGACUCAGGCAGCUAGUGCAUUGCUACUUUAUCUUUUUUUUCCCCACACACAACCACACAUUUCCGCAUAUACUUGGACUUGUGCCUACAGCAAAGAAGCCUACCCGGGUAGCAACUGUGGGACAGAAAAGAGUUAUUCUUUUGUAUUUAUUUAUUUAUUUGUUUGUUGGUGUUUGUUCCCUGAGGCCUCAUUGUCAGUUCUGUUACCUGUUAUGCAAUUCAUGCUUAGAAGUGAAUAUAUAUCUUUUCCUUUAAUACAUACUUACCUGUUUUCUACCAAACCAUAUUCUUGUUGUGCUUUUCUGCCCGCUUACUAUCCUCCUUCCCGAACCUAGAGACGUGGUUUUAACUGUGCUGUGCCCGUAGUUGAGUUAUCAAUUAGAGAAGAGACCACCACAUUACAUGUUGUUUAUCAUUUAUUUCAUGUAUAUAGUUAGAUUUAUUCCUGUUUUUGAUGGAAAGGACAUGGAUGGCAUCCUCUUCAAGGCAGUGCAGGACAUCAAAGUGGAUACGGGUCUGAAGCUUGACUAUGGCGUCAACAGGAAGACCUUCCAAGGAAUGGGCCUGGGCCUGGACCCGGGCUGGCCGCAUGAUCAUGACCACUGGUCCGUCCCAUGUGCAUGGGGUAAAAUGUUAUCCGGAGGCCUACAAUCCUACAGAUCCUACCGCAGUGUGGUUAUGUCGUCAGGCUGAUGUGCCCAGCCAGGAGGAGGAGGCGCUGACCUACUCCAAGAGGAAAUACUGGAGUGGGCAGAGACGCAGGCGGAGCUCCACCUCCACCAGCCAGAGCGUGUUCGGCCGUGAGGAGAGUUAGCGCAAGCUGUCUCCCCGGGGGGCCCAGCUCCGGUUCGGCCAGGAAGGGCCAGAGGGCGAAGGUGGCUGUCGGUCCCUCGGAGAACUCCACUCUCUCAAAGCACCGAUGGAAGGCGUGUCGCUGGGGCCCGAGACAGAGCCCGGCUCCCGCUGGGCUCGCUCCCCCUGCGAAGCAGAGCGCCGUGACCAGCUACGGCACGCUUUACGGCUUUGUCCCGCGUCACCGCCGAAGUGGUGGAGUUCCACAACUUUUAAUCUACAAAAAUAGACUCAGGGGGUGCUGUGUAUUUGAACUACUAUGAACUGCAUAUUAUAAAGUGCUAUUUUAAAUUAUUUCAAUCACGUCCUUAAAAAUAUACGCAAGAAUACAAGAAAUAGUUAGGGGACAUACAGAUAUAUAUGGUUUCUUUUCACAGAUGAAAUAAUGAGAAAUUAAUGACACAUAUUUAUUACUUUGUCUCAUAUUCAUUUCAGUAGCUUCAUUGUUCACAAAAGCUUCCCUUGUCUUUUUUGUGUAGGUCCAGGAGGAGGAGGCGGUAUUUCUGUGUAUAGUUCACCCUGUGUCUUAUUCUUUGGACAUCACUUUCCCAUUUGUUAUUGAAUUAGGGAAUGUGUGACAGAGAGCUCUGUCUAAGGCCUCGAGUGGCAUCCUUUUCCCCACCUUACCCCAUAGUUCCACAGCAUUCAUUCAUUCAUUCGUGUUUGUGACCCGUUGCCGGUACAUCUUUACAUACAUAUCACUAACGCACAUUUCACUAAAAUAUCGCGCUAGCUUCGAGGGUACACACUCGAAGCAAGCAGCAGAUUACCCGGUUUCAUGCACACAAACAUUUCCAAUUCGCGUUAUCGUUUCGGCUGUCGUUGUCUUUACCGUUACCGUCUUUAUCAUGUUUGUUCCCGUCUGUAUUGUACUCAGCGCUUGGUUUAAAUGUCUUUUUGUGUUCGUGUUCAUUGUCUUGUCUCCCUCCAUGGUAUCCUCUCUCCAUGUGUUUGUUAGUCUGUGCCAUAGCAGGGUACAACUACCGGUGCAGGAGAGGACCAAACCGAGCUGGAGCAACACGGACUAGUUUAUUAUUACUACUUGUUUAUCAUUUAUUUACUGUAUAUAGUUACAUUUCUUCUUCGUGUUUUUGUAACUCCUUGUUGUUCAUUGUUCUAUUGAAAGGAAAGGACACCAUGGAAAGAGCUCCUCUUUUUAUGCCCUCCCCCCCCCUGUGAACUGUUCCUCACAAGGCUUUACAUGACCCACUCCAUGCAGAGCAAGAUGAAAGAGGCGGGCCUGUGUGAGAAGUCUCAUGAUGAUGCCAAGCUCCUUGUGGACUUUAAAAAGUACACAGGGCACAGAGACCUGAGAUUAACUGACCAGCCUACAGCACACAGACAUGAGUGCUCCCCCUGUUCUUAACUGCAAAAAGAAUGUCAUCAGGUUCUUAGAUUGCCUGAAGACAAGGCUGAAUCUGGAACAGACAGACUCACAGCUCCGUUCCAAGUCCAGUCAUUCAAGGAGAUGCUGCUGACCCUGCGGAAGCCGGUUCCAAAGGCCUGUUCACAGGCGGUGUGUAAAACCAGAUGCUGAAGGACCUAAAAAGGUGACAAAGUUUCACUGAUGUCUAUACUGAGUUUAUCAAGGCUGCUGCAGAUUGGACCAAAGAGGAACUACUGCAUCACCCGCCAAGAGCUGCUUGCCGUCAUCCUGGGGCUCCACCACUUCCAGCCCUACGGGGCUCCACAGCACCAGCCAAGGAAACAAAGUCGAGUACGAAACAUUCCUUCAAAGUUGGCACUCGCAUCUCAUUGCAGUUGCCCUACUCCAAGAGAAAAUACUGGAGUGGGCAGAUGCAGGCAGAACUCAGAUGUGAACUCAGCGGCGAGCUCAGCCAGAGGCCAGAAAACUUAAGGGAGAUGUUGGUGCAUUGGGGGAUACCACUCUCUUGGAGCACCAAAGGAAGUCGAGUCACUGGCUCCGGUUCGGCGCCCCCUCAGCUGUUUCACAGAUGUCUAUACUGAGAUCAUCAAGGCAGCUGCAAAUGGGACCGGAGAGGAACUACUGCAUCACCUGUCAAGAGCAAUGGAAACUUUGACUCUAUCAAAAGGUCGAAUGGAUUUCAAGCGAGAGAACCAAGGGCGGCACGGUGGCGCAGCAGGUAGCGCCACCUCA
Molecule: long non-coding RNA, 4693 nt
Organism: Chanos chanos (milkfish)
Lineage: Eukaryota; Metazoa; Chordata; Actinopteri; Gonorynchiformes; Chanidae
Exons: 8
Source: RefSeq, a predicted model, not a curated record